This 429-nucleotide ribosomal RNA is filed under the name Chloroflexota bacterium. RNAcentral describes it as "Chloroflexi bacterium partial 16S ribosomal RNA". It matches the Rfam family "Bacterial small subunit ribosomal RNA", at positions 355 to 776 of the family's 1533-position model. The record is from RNAcentral. Lineage: Bacteria; Bacillati; Chloroflexota.
UGGGGAAUAUUGCACAAUGGGCGCAAGCCUGAUGCAGCCAUGCUGCGUGUGUGAAGAAGGCCUUCGGGUUGUAAAGCACUUUCAGCGGGGAGGAAGGCGAUAAGGUUAAUAACCUCAUCGAUUGACGUUACCCGCAGAAGAAGCACCGGCUAACUCCGUGCCAGCAGCCGCGGUAAUAUGGAGGGUGCAAGCGUUAAUCGGAAUUACUGGGCGUAAAGCGCCCGCAGGCGGUCUGUCAAGUCGGAUGUGAAAUCCCCGGGCUCAACCUGGGAACUGCAUUCGAAACUGACAGGCUAGAGUCUUGUAGAGGGGGAUAGAAUUCCAGGUGUAGCGGUGAAAUGCGUAGAGUUCUGGAGGAAUACCGGUGGCGAAGGCAGCCCCCUGGACAAAGACUGACGCUCAGGUGCGAAAGCGUGGGGAGCAAACAGG